GACGAACGCUGGCGGCGCGCCUAACACAUGCAAGUCGAACGAGCGAGAGAGAGCUUACUUUCUCAAGCGAGUGGCGAACGGGUGAGUAACGCGUGAGGAACCUGCCUCAAAGAGGGGGACAACAGUUGGAAACGACUGCUAAUACCGCAUAAGCCCACAGCUCGGCAUCGAGCAGAGGGAAAAGGAGCAAUCCGCUUUGAGAUGGCCUCGCGUCCGAUUAGCUAGUUGGUGAGGUAACGGCCCACCAAGGCGACGAUCGGUAGCCGGACUGAGAGGUUGAACGGCCACAUUGGGACUGAGACACGGCCCAGACUCCUACGGGAGGCAGCAGUGGGGAAUAUUGCACAAUGGGGGAAACCCUGAUGCAGCGACGCCGCGUGGAGGAAGAAGGCCUUCGGAUUGUAAACUCCUGUUGUUGAGGAAGAUAAUGACGGUACUCAACAAGGAAGUGACGGCUAACUACGUGCCAGCAGCCGCGGUAAAACGUAGGUCACAAGCGUUGUCCGGAAUUACUGGGUGUAAAGGGAGCGCAGGCGGGAAGACAAGUUGGAAGUGAAAUCCAUGGGCUCAACCCAUGAACUGCUUUCAAAACUGUUUUUCUUGAGUAGUGCAGAGGUAGGCGGAAUUCCCGGUGUAGCGGUGGAAUGCGUAGAUAUCGGGAGGAACACCAGUGGCGAAGGCGGCCUACUGGGCACCAACUGACGCUGAGGCUCGAAAGUGUGGGUAGCAAACAGGAUUAGAUACCCUGGUAGUCCACACUGUAAACGAUGAUUACUAGGUGUUGGAGGAUUGACCCCUCCAGUGCCGCAGCUAACACAAUAAGUAAUCCACCUGGGGAGUACGACCGCAAGGUUGAAACUCAAAGGAAUUGACGGGGGCCCGCACAAGCAGUGGAGUAUGUGGUUUAAUUCGACGCAACGCGAAGAACCUUACCAAGUCUUGACAUCCUGCGACGGUGCUGGAAACAGUACUUUCCUUCGGGACGCAGAGACAGGUGGUGCAUGGUUGUCGUCAGCUCGUGUCGUGAGAUGUUGGGUUAAGUCCCGCAACGAGCGCAACCCUUAUGGUCAGUUACUACGCAAGAGGACUCUGGCCAGACUGCCGUUGACAAAACGGAGGAAGGUGGGGAGGACGUCAAAUCAUCAUGCCCUCUAUGACUUGGGCUACACACGUACUACAAUGGCGUUAAACAAAGAGAAGCAAGACCGCGAGGUGGAGCAAAACUCAGAAACAACGUCCCAGUUCGGACUGCAGGCUGCAACUCGCCUGCACGAAGUCGGAAUUGCUAGUAAUCGCAGAUCAGCAUGCUGCGGUGAAUACAAAGGCCCCCCUUGCACA
RNAcentral lists this ribosomal RNA (1338 nucleotides) under uncultured bacterium. RNAcentral describes it as "bacterial SSU rRNA". It matches the Rfam family "Bacterial small subunit ribosomal RNA", at positions 28 to 1387 of the family's 1533-position model. The record is from RNAcentral.